This 72-nucleotide transfer RNA is filed under the name bacterium. RNAcentral's name for it is "tRNA-Asn". It matches the Rfam family "tRNA". Rfam says of the family: Transfer RNA (tRNA) molecules are approximately 80 nucleotides in length. Their secondary structure includes four short double-helical elements and three loops (D, anti-codon, and T loops). Further hydrogen bonds mediate the characteristic L-shaped molecular structure. tRNAs have two regions of fundamental functional importance: the anti-codon, which is responsible for specific mRNA codon recognition, and the 3' end, to which the tRNAs corresponding amino acid is attached (by aminoacyl-tRNA synthetases). tRNAs cope with the degeneracy of the genetic code in two manners: having more than one tRNA (with a specific anti-codon) for a particular amino acid; and 'wobble' base-pairing, i.e. permitting non-standard base-pairing at the 3rd anti-codon position. The record is from RNAcentral.
UCCGCGGUAGCUCAAUGGUAGAGCAAUCGACUGUUAAUCGAUUGGUUCCUGGUUCGAGUCCAGGCCGCGGAG